GAAAAAAAUAAAAGACCUUGGGAGUUCAUGGACCAAGGGCCAAGUGAGGUGGCCACAGCACAUUCGCAAGGUUUGGUGGACAGAUUCCGACCUUCUGGCCCAAUGCAGCGUUUGGCCAGGAGUUCAGUCCAGCUCCAGGUUCUGCCUUGAUGCCCGGCUCUUCCCAGGGACCCCAGGCCCUGCCAGUCAGCUGUGGAGUUCCCCUGGAGUGUGAGGCAGGGGGAACCACGGCCCUGAGGCCUGGAGGGAAGAGGACUCACAAGUGCUCACUGUGAGAAGGGGCCAGACACCGGAUCAAUUGCAAUCAAAGAGCAGAUGUGUCUGCCGGCAGGAAGAUCAAAGCGAGGAAGGAGCCACUUUGCCCAGUGUGGCUGGGGCAACCGAAGGCCAAGGUCUGAGGGUCAGUGUCAGCCUCGGUUCCAGCUCCCCAGCGCCAGUGUGCAAGCCAAGCCCCAGCUCUGGGACCAAAGGGCUCCAACUGUCCUCCACCUGCUCCGUGGGGCUGGCGUGCGAAAGCAGGGCACACCAACCAUCUGAGACCCGGAGCAAGCCGGCCUCAUCGUUAUUCUCUGCAAGGUGGGAGGAGAGAAAAAUUACGCUUUUCUGUGGAUGAGAGAAACAUGGAGGAGAAAGAAACGUGCUCUUGGCAGCUGUCACUGUGUCAAGAUUCGGCCUAAUGGUCACACUUAGUACCUUGGAAAUUUCCGUUUCCACUGUCCAUUCCCAUUCGCGCGAUUCCAGGGGAAGGGAGCGGGUUGGACCCAUCUAUGUGGCACCCAAGGAUCUGGAUCCAAGCAGACCGGCUCCUCAGAAGGCCUUCCACACGGCCUAAACGAU
RNAcentral lists this long non-coding RNA (837 nucleotides) under Chinchilla lanigera (long-tailed chinchilla). RNAcentral describes it as "lncRNA (ENSCLAG00000023159.1)". The record is from RNAcentral. Lineage: Eukaryota; Metazoa; Chordata; Mammalia; Rodentia; Chinchillidae.